UACGUAGGGGGCAAGCGUUGUCCGGAUUUAUUGGGCGUAAAGAGCGUGUAGGCGGCUAGGUGGGUCCGUUGUGAAAACUCGAGGCUCAACCUCGAGACGUCGAUGGAAACCAUCUAGCUAGAGUCCGGAAGAGGAGAGUGGAAUUCCUGGUGUAGCGGUGAAAUGCGCAGAUAUCAGGAGGAACACCGGUGGCGAAGGCGGGUCUCUGGGCAGUAACUGACGCUGAGGAGCGAAAGCGUGGGGAGCGAACAGG
This 253-nucleotide ribosomal RNA is filed under the name uncultured bacterium. RNAcentral describes it as "partial 16S ribosomal RNA". It matches the Rfam family "Bacterial small subunit ribosomal RNA", at positions 524 to 776 of the family's 1533-position model. The record is from RNAcentral.